Molecule: ribosomal RNA, 465 nt
Filed under: Escherichia coli
Lineage: Bacteria; Pseudomonadati; Pseudomonadota; Gammaproteobacteria; Enterobacterales; Enterobacteriaceae
Description: bacterial SSU rRNA
Rfam family: Bacterial small subunit ribosomal RNA
Source: RNAcentral
AUUGAACGCUGGCGGCAGGCCUAACACAUGCAAGUCGAACGGUAACAGGAAGAAGCUUGCUUCUUUGCUGACGAGUGGCGGACGGGUGAGUAAUGUCUGGGAAACUGCCUGAUGGAGGGGGAUAACUACUGGAAACGGUAGCUAAUACCGCAUAACGUCGCAAGACCAAAGAGGGGGACCUUCGGGCCUCUUGCCAUCGGAUGUGCCCAGAUGGGAUUAGCUAGUAGGUGGGGUAACGGCUCACCUAAGCGACGAUCCCUAGCUGGUCUGAGAGGAUGACCAGCCACACUGGAACUGAGACACGGUCCAGACUCCUACGGGAGGCAGCAGUGGGGAAUAUUGCACAAUGGGCGCAAGCCUGAUGCAGCCAUGCCGCGUGUAUGAAGAAGGCCUUCGGGUUGUAAAGUACUUUCAGCGGGGAGGAAGGGAGUAAAGUUAAUACCUUUGCUCAUUGACGUACCCGCA